AAAUAAAUUAUGGAAACAUACCAUAUUAGUCGAAAAACAACACAAAUGUGAUUUAAUGUACAAGAUAGGCAAUAUGAACCAGAAACCAUAUCUGAACAGAUCACAAAUAUAAAACAUCAAAUCGCCAAGAAUCCAUUACUAGAUUUGGUGUUAGUAGUUUGAGAUCCGAUUAAAGGAGAUAAUGAAAUGAAACACACAAAUCGGAUCCAAACACGACCAUCAUCAAAACCCCCAGACUAGCAACCAACAAAAAAUGAAACCCCAAUCCAUCAGCCCCCAAAGGUCCUCCACAUCAAAUCAUAACCCCAUAGUCCAGCACAUAACAAAAGCCCCCUUACUAAUCGAACUAAGAAACCCACAAUCUAUCAACCCUCGGACUCGGCUUAUAAUAGAACUGAAAAAAAUCUUCGGGAAAGUCCUCAUUUAGCAGCCGAAAAGGCUAAACAACACCUAAGCAAUAACGAUGGCAAAGGAAGGAGAAGAGAUGGUGGGUUGAAAUGGAGAAGAAGAGAAAAUGGAAGAGAUGGAAGAUGGUGGCGGAAGGGGUAUAAGUUCAACUGAGUUUCGAUCGAAA
RNAcentral lists this long non-coding RNA (574 nucleotides) under Panax ginseng (ginseng). RNAcentral describes it as "long non-coding RNA (PGIN_LNC014589)". The record is from RNAcentral. Lineage: Eukaryota; Viridiplantae; Streptophyta; Magnoliopsida; Apiales; Araliaceae.